Molecule: long non-coding RNA, 1571 nt
Organism: Erigeron canadensis
Lineage: Eukaryota; Viridiplantae; Streptophyta; Magnoliopsida; Asterales; Asteraceae
Exons: 9
Source: RefSeq, a predicted model, not a curated record
GAUUUAAUGAAUUUACUUAAAUGGGUCUGUUUAUAUCUAUUAUAUUUGAUGGGAUCAAAAUAUAAUUUAAUCCCACUAUCAAUUCAACCUUAGCAAUUUUUGCGAUAGGAUGAGCUUUUUUAUAUGAGAGGCUUGCAUAGCUUCUGGAAACAGUCAAAAUUUAGUCAGAUUACCGCUGUUAUCUUUAUUUAUGUGUCGCUCUAGCUACAAAAAACAUAAAAACAUAGUGAGACUACUUGGUUUUGUAACUAACGGAGAAAUCAAACUUCUUACUACGAGUACGUGUCUCAUGGGAAUUUAUAUGACAUUUGGCAUGCAAUUGCAAUGGGAAGCAAGGUACAAAAUUGCAGUGGAUGUGGCAAAGGGAUUGUGUUACCUCACCAUGAUUGCUCUCCAAUAAUCAUACAAUGAGAUGUGAAAUCGAAUAUCAUACUGUUUGAUUCAGACUUUGAGGCUCAUCUUGCUGAAUUUUGUCUGGCCAAGUUCUUGAGGCGCUCUGGUACUUUGAGUAAAUGUCAUGUAUUGCUGGAUCUUUUGGAUAUAUUGCACAGGGGUAAGGUUCUCGAGGUACUUAAGAAUUUGUCUGGUAGGAGUGUUUAAGUGAUUGUGGUGACACAUGGUGGUUGUUUCUUGGAGUGGGAGAUCUUGAGUGCAAGGGUAUGGGAAUUCCAGUUGGGAAACUCGCUUUGUAUACUGCACUUGGAGGAAUUAGGCCGUAUGUGCUUGGGGAUCCACCGACUGAUAAAAUUGUACUCGGAUUAGCUGCAGAAAGCAAUCUUAAACCAGCGACUCUAAAACUUUUUGAGAGAUCCCUUUUUUAUUGUAUGUGUGGAUGCGAAAGUUGACGAAGCCGUUGAUCUGACACAUGCUGCUCUAUUCUACAAUCAGGUCCAAUACUGUUGUGCUGAAUCACAUAUAUUUGUGCAUGAACGUGCCUAUGAUGAGUUCGUAGAUAAAGCAAGGGGUAAAGCCUUGCAAAAUGCGACAUUGUAUGUCUCUUGAGUUAUAUAUAAAAAGCAAUUUCAAAGAUGCCAUACAUUGAGCAAUGGUUUCCCCUCAUUACUUUAUGUUCUUUUGAAGAAAUUACGCGUAACUGAAAGCAUAGAUAUCAUAGUAAGAGUUCAUAGUUGCUUGCAGGGGUUACCAAGAAAUACCUUGACAGUAACACGUCCCUAGUCCCUAAAUAAGUUGAAGAACCUUGCAUCAAUAGCAACUCCAGCAAAAACAUGUGAGCAGAAAGCAACAUAUAUACUGACGAUUCAGGAUCGGAUUCACUGGUGGAUGAGGACGCGGACGAAAAUGCAGGCCCCCUUAAGAUAGGCCGCAGGAAAAGGCGCAUCGAGGAUUCUAAGUCAUCUGAGGAAACUGGUGUCGGUGGGCAAGAACGCUCCAAGACAACAUUAGUAGAAUACUUUGUUUCUAACAAGUUAACGUAUGGGUCUGCCCUGCUGAUGUCCAUAUUUAUUUUUGUCAUGUUUUAUGGGUCACAACGGAAUUAUUAGAUUUUGUUUUCUUUUGUUAUGAAAGUUAUGGCAUGGACGUUUUUGGUUUUCAUUGUUUGUUAUGUUUGU